GGUAGGGUACUCAAGCGGUCAACGAGGGCAGACUGUAAAUCUGCUUGCCAUGCAUUCCUUGGUUCGAAUCCAAGCCCUACCACCA
This 85-nucleotide transfer RNA is filed under the name Lentisphaeria bacterium. Its description in RNAcentral is "tRNA-Tyr". It matches the Rfam family "tRNA". From Rfam's summary of the family: Transfer RNA (tRNA) molecules are approximately 80 nucleotides in length. Their secondary structure includes four short double-helical elements and three loops (D, anti-codon, and T loops). The record is from RNAcentral. Lineage: Bacteria; Pseudomonadati; Lentisphaerota; Lentisphaeria. RNAcentral also lists the same sequence under 1 other name.